CUGGCGGCGUGCCUAACACAUGCAAGUCGAGCGAGAAAGGGUAGCAAUACCUGAGUACAGCGGCGCACGGGUGAGUAACACGUGGAUAACCUGCCUCGAAGUGGGGGAUAACACCGGGAAACCGGUGCUAAUACCGCAUAAUCUGACGAGAUCUGCGGAUUUUGUCAGCAAAGGAGCAACUCGCUUUGAGAGGGGUCCGCGGCUGAUUAGCUAGUUGGUGAGGUAAUGGCUCACCAAGGCAACGAUCAGUAGCCGGUCUGAGAGGACGGUCGGCCACACUGGAACUGAGACACGGUCCAGACUCCUACGGGAGGCAGCAGUGGGGAAUUUUUGGCAAUGGGGGAAACCCUGACCAAGCAACGCCGCGUGGAUGAUGAAGUAUCUCGGUACGUAAAAUCCUUUCGACGGGGACGAAGCCGCAAGGUUGACGGUACCCGUAGAAGAAGCCCCGGCUAACUCCGUGCCAGCAGCCGCGGUAAUACGGGGGGGGCAAGCGUUGUUCGGAAUUACUGGGCGUAAAGGGCGCGUAGGCGGCUCGCUAAGUCGGGUGUGAAAACUCUGGGCUCAACCCAGAGCCUGCAUUCGAAACUGACGAGCUGGAGUACUGGAGGGGAAAGCGGAAUUCCUGGUGUAGCGGUGAAAUGCGUAGAUAUCAGGAGGAACACCGGUGGCGAAGGCGGCUUUCUGGACAGUAACUGACGCUGAUGCGCGAAA
Molecule: ribosomal RNA, 714 nt
Filed under: uncultured soil bacterium
Lineage: Bacteria
Description: bacterial SSU rRNA
Rfam family: Bacterial small subunit ribosomal RNA
Source: RNAcentral